Molecule: long non-coding RNA, 284 nt
Organism: Polypterus senegalus (gray bichir)
Lineage: Eukaryota; Metazoa; Chordata; Cladistia; Polypteriformes; Polypteridae
Exons: 2
Source: RefSeq, a predicted model, not a curated record
UGUUUUAUAUUUUAUAUCUAAUUGUAAUUAUGUAUUACGUUAUCUAUCAAUUUUUUAUCUUAGGCUUCAAAUUUUACUUGGAUGUCACAGCAAACUGGUGGUGCCAUCCUUGACGAGCCUCCAAACUUUAAAUGGCUUUGUGAUUAAAAAGAUAUUUCAUCAGAAGUCUCUAUAUGUAAGACCAGAUACAACACUGUUGACUUUCCCUGAGGCAUCUCCAUCAGAUUCUGAAAGAGAAAUAAUUGAGGAGCAGAAGAGUGAAAGAGAUCUUGAAUCUUUAGAAA